RNAcentral lists this transfer RNA (77 nucleotides) under Candidatus Bathyarchaeota archaeon. Its description in RNAcentral is "tRNA-Trp". It matches the Rfam family "tRNA". From Rfam's summary of the family: Transfer RNA (tRNA) molecules are approximately 80 nucleotides in length. Their secondary structure includes four short double-helical elements and three loops (D, anti-codon, and T loops). Further hydrogen bonds mediate the characteristic L-shaped molecular structure. tRNAs have two regions of fundamental functional importance: the anti-codon, which is responsible for specific mRNA codon recognition, and the 3' end, to which the tRNAs corresponding amino acid is attached (by aminoacyl-tRNA synthetases). tRNAs cope with the degeneracy of the genetic code in two manners: having more than one tRNA (with a specific anti-codon) for a particular amino acid; and 'wobble' base-pairing, i.e. permitting non-standard base-pairing at the 3rd anti-codon position. Lineage: Archaea; Thermoproteati; Candidatus Bathyarchaeota. The record is from RNAcentral.
GGGGCCGUGGUCUAGCCUGGAAUGACGUUGGGCUCCAGACCCAAAUGUCGAGGGUUCAAAUCCUUCCGGCCCCACCA